UUAGCUGUAAACGAUGGACACUAGGUGUGGGAGGUUAUCGACGCUUUCCGUGCCGAAGCUAACGCAUUAAGUGUCCCGCCUGGGGAGUACGGCCGCAAGGCUAAAACUCAAAGGAAUUGACGGGGGCCCGCACAAGCGGCGGAGCAUGUGGCUUAAUUCGACGCAACGCGAAGAACCUUACCAAGGUUUGACACCAUACUGAAAGUAAUAGAAAUAUUGCUGCCCGCAAGGGCAGUAUGACAGGUGG
This 247-nucleotide ribosomal RNA is filed under the name uncultured bacterium. RNAcentral's name for it is "partial 16S ribosomal RNA". It matches the Rfam family "Bacterial small subunit ribosomal RNA", at positions 796 to 1041 of the family's 1533-position model. The record is from RNAcentral.